Molecule: microRNA, 23 nt
Filed under: Monodelphis domestica (gray short-tailed opossum)
Lineage: Eukaryota; Metazoa; Chordata; Mammalia; Didelphimorphia; Didelphidae
Description: mdo-miR-7398a-4-5p
Source: miRBase by way of RNAcentral
UGUGUAGAGGUGAGAAAGAUACC